Molecule: ribosomal RNA, 1716 nt
Filed under: Semanopterus sp. A NLG-2014
Lineage: Eukaryota; Metazoa; Arthropoda; Insecta; Coleoptera; Scarabaeidae
Description: partial 16S ribosomal RNA
Rfam family: Archaeal large subunit ribosomal RNA (bases 1568-1716)
Source: RNAcentral
UAAACUAGGAUUAGAUACCCUAUUAUUGAAAAUGUAAAUAUACAAUACUUGAAUAUUAGUAGUUAUGUUCUUGAAAUUUAAAGAAUCUGGCGGUAUUUUAGUCUAUUCAGAGGAACCUGUCCUAUAAUUGAUAGUCCACGAUUAAUUGUACUUGUUUUUAGUUUGUAUAUCGUCGUAGGUUGAAUGUUUUAAAAGAAAAUGGAAUGUUCAAGAUUUAUAGAUAUAAAGAAAAUCAGAUCAAGAUACAGCUUAUAAAUAAGAAGAGAUGGGUUACAAUAAAUUUAUUUAUAUAGUUAAGAUAUUUAACAGUAUUUUAUAAAUUGGAUUUGAUAGUAAUAUGGUUUAGUUUAACUUUAUGAUUUUAGCUCUAAAAUAUGUACAUAUCGCCCGUCGCUCCCUCUAUAAGGAGGGAUAAGUCGUAACAUAGUAGGUGUACUGGAAAGUGUACCUAGAAUGGCAAAUUAGAGCUUGAUAGAAAGCAUUUUAUUUACAUUAAAAAGUUAGUUGUGAGAAUCAAUUUAAUUUGAAAUCAUUGUUUUAUUAUGGGUUUGUAAAAAAAAUAAUUUUGAUAUGAGUAUUAUUAAGAAAAUAAGUUUAUAAUUAUAGUGUAUAGUAUAGUGAUAGAAAUUAGAAUUAUAUGAAAUUUAGUUAGAAAAAAGAAAAGUUAAUUUUUUGUACCUUGUGUAUCAGGGUUUAUUAAAAUAAUUUAAUUAUAUUAAUAUUCUCGAAUUAAGAAGAGCUAUUAUUAUAUAUAUUUAAUUGUUGUAAAAAUUUUUAAAAUAUAAUGAUAGAAAUGAAAUGUUAUUCGUUUUUUAAGAUAUCUAGUUUUUUAAGAAAUAAAUUUAAUUUAGUUUUUUAAUAUUAUAGUAUUACUUAGUUAGUAUUAUAAUUUAAAUAUUUAAUAUUUUAAGGGAUAAGCUUUAAAAUAGAUUAUUAGAAAUUAAUAGGUAUAUAUUAAGUAUUAGUAGGAUUGGAAAUGUUUUUCUUUAGUUUGUUAUAAUUAAUACUUAAUUAGAUAUGAUUUAUAUAGAGUUUUAGGUUGUUUAUUAAAAAUAUAUAUUUAAUUUUAUAUUAUAUGAAAUAAUGAUAAAAUUAGUAUAGAAGUUUGUAUAUUUAAUUAUAAGGAUAUAGGUUAAGUUAAGGAACUCGGCAAAUAUACUUUUCGCCUGUUUAUUAAAAACAUGUCUUUUUGAUUAUAAUUUAAAGUCUAACCUGCCCAAUGAGGAGUUUAAUGGCCGCGGUAAUUUGACCGUGCAAAGGUAGCAUAAUCAUUAGUUUUUUAAUUGAAAGCUGGUAUGAAUGGUUGGACGAGAAAGUAGCUGUCUCAAUUUAAUUGAAUUAGAAUUUUAUAUAUAAGUAAAAAAGCUUAUAUGUAUUUAAAAGACGAGAAGACCCUAUAGAAUUUUAUAUUUAUAUAUAUAGAUUUUAUUUAGAACUUUAAAUUUUCUAUAUAUAUCAGUAUUUUGUUGGGGUGACAAAAAAAUUUGAUAAACUUUUUUUUUAUAUAUACAUUGAUAUAUGAGUGUAUGAUCCAUUUUUUAUGAUUAUAAGAUUAAAUUACCUUAGGGAUAACAGCGUAAUUUUUUUUUAGAGUUCUUAUCGAAAGAAAAGUUUGCGACCUCGAUGUUGGAUUAAAAUUAACUUUUGGUGCAGGAGCUAGAAGGUUAGGUCUGUUCGACCUUUAAUAUUUUACAUGAUCUGAGUUCAAACCGGAGA